Corticium candelabrum is the source of this 5544-nucleotide long non-coding RNA. RefSeq lists it as uncharacterized. The record is from RefSeq and is a predicted model, not a curated record. Lineage: Eukaryota; Metazoa; Porifera; Homoscleromorpha; Homosclerophorida; Plakinidae. The transcript has 6 exons.
GACAGACAGGCAGAGGGAUGAACAGAUAGACAGAAGACAGACAGACAGACAGUUUUAGCGUAGGGCCUGCGGGCUUGCUUGUUUGUUUUAGUCAUUCUGGCGUAGAUGCAUGUCGGUAGCUUUGCAAAGAUGUAAUGCUAGCGUCAUUAGCAGAAAGUUAACAAGGCUGGGACAUUCUAAGAUCUUUACAGUUGACAGUUCAUUCGCACGUAGUUAAAUUAUGGCGUCGGCCGUUUGGGCCAGACUAGAAUGUAAUAAUGUUGUUCUUUGAAAAUAUAUGUAUUGACAGACAGACAGACAGACAGACAGACAGACAGACUGAUAGACAGACAGAGAGACAGAGGGAUGAACAGACAGAGACAGACAGACAGACAGGUGCACAUACAUGCAUAUGGACAUCAGUGUUCUUCCCAGGGUUCUCAGAGUGGUGGUCAAGUCUCCACUGCAUCAAGGGGCGUGGAUUAUUUCUAUUUCAGAUAUCCGGGAAAAGUACAGCAAACUCCCGGAUAAUCAAGCAUUGUUGCUAAACAGACACGAAAGUGCCAAACAGAACGUAUUGCACUGUUGUAUGGUCCAUGAUCUGAAAGAGUAAACUAAGAAAGCUGCAAUUUCUGUUAGCAGUCCUGGAACUAUGUUGCCCUGUCUCGUGUAGACUAUGGCAAGGCUAGAUGUCUGCCAUCCAUUGGAGCAAGCAAAACACAAGCUAAGAGAGGAAGCACUGCAGUGCAAACCCUCCGUGUGCCAUACCUUUGCAGCUUGAAUGCAAUUAGACAGCAAAUUAGAAGAGCAUGAGAUAAUAACAUGCAGUCACGUAUUUGCCUCAAUCAGUGAUCACGUGUUACAUUGUGGCCUAGCAAGUUCUUUCGGUCAUACGUACAUACCAAACAGCGUUACUAUACCUAGUGUUUCACGCGUUGGUAAAUAUAUAGUGGUGAUCGGGAACAUGUGGAGUAGUGGUUGGUGUUUGUUGAGUGCUGGUCGGGCCCGACCACCAUGGGGCAGAACCCUGGGACAUACAGACAACAAAUGUUUGGAUUAAGAGAGACAGACAGACAGACAGACAGAUGGAUUGAGAGUCAGAUAGACAGACAGAUGCAUUGACAGACAAACAGACAGGCAGAUGGACAGACAGACAGACAGACAGACAGACGGAUGGAUUGAGAGUCAGGUAGACAGACAGACAGAUGGAUUGAGAGUCAGAUAGACAGACAGAUGCAUUGACAGACAAACAGACAGGCAGAUGAAUGGACAGACAGACAAACAGAUGCACAUACAAUUAAACAUGCAUAUGGACAUACAGACAACAAACACUUGGAUUGAGAGUUUUAGACAGACAGAUAGACAAAUGGAUUAACAGAAAGACGGAUACAGAGUGAAAUAACAGUCGGACAUCGGACAUUUUUCGACCAAAUUGAGCAUUUGUUUGAUUGCCUAAAUUUGAAACGGACAUCAUGUCCGACCACAUGAACACACACACACACACACACACACACACACACACACACACACUCACACACACAGGCAAUGUGAUCUUGAAGGCAAAUGCACAGAUAAACAAGACAGCAAGCAGUGAUGACAGUUGUGUAGCAUUAGAGUAUUGAGACUAUAUGUACAUGUAGUCUUACCAAACUCUAACUUUAACUCCUACCCUUACCCUAGUACUUUUGUACAUGUCAAACUACAUACUCUUUAUGAUGGUGCUUUCUUUCUUCAUUUCCAUCUUCUUUUCCUGAAGAGAUUGUAUCUGAAGGAGAAGCAGCAAUGCGUAUCUACGAUGCUGUAUGCAAUGAAGAAAAUGCAGUGACUGUAUUUUUCGUUUUGAUUUUGUCGGUCGUGAUGGUGCUGGAAAGAUAAGCUUGACAAAGUCGAUCACUCUCAUGAAGUUUGACCAGUAUGAGCCGAGCACAAGAGGUGUUAUUCCAAUGAGUCGCAUUAUCAUGAAGAAGCAUGUAACUGGACUGCUCCUGUCACCAGUGAACAUUACAGAGAUCUGUACGACAAGAGCGUCACAGCAGUUAUGGCAGAGGCUUUCAAUAGACCAGAAGAAAAGAUAAGUUUUUGACAUUGGCAAGAGACAAAAAGACGAGCACAAGGAAACGAAAUAGUAAGACAUCAGUGAAGUCCAGUUCAAAGCUGAUGGCAAUAGCAAGUCCCACUGAUGGGCAAAGAGAUGAGCAGUCAGAUGAUAUGUCAAUGAACGGUGGUCACAACCUACUUGAGCAGCUUGUUGCUAUGAGGCUAGAAGAGGCCAGUAAUGAGCGACAACUUUCAGAAUCUUUAGAGUUAAAUGAUGAGAUUGCACAUGAAAGUGGUGGUGUAACUGCUGAAGACAGAGAGACAAGAGAAUCAUCAACAGAGAUGUGUUGUAGUUCAGGUAGUGUAAGAGACAAUGUUGAAGCACAAGUAGAAUCAGUAGCAGGUGUUAGUUCAGAGACUGUAGUAGUAGUCGUUGAGACUGAUAGUUUAGAAAAGAGUGAAGCAAAGAAGAGAAGAAAUGUACAAAGCAGAAGAACAAAGAAGAAGAAAACGAGUAAGAUGAAGACAUCUGAUAAGCGACCAUCACAACAAUCUCGUCAGAUGGUGACAAGCAGAAAGAAGAGAAAGAGAACUUAUCAACUAAGUUCACAAUUCUUCUGAGACGUGCAGUCAUCGACAUCUACAGAUACACAGCAACAUCAGACACAAUCAAACCGAGGCAAGAAAUCUAAAUGGAAAUAGUCACGUGGUCAGUCAUAGGGUUCAGGGUUGGCGGAAGUUUUUUAAUAGUGAGAGCAAGGCUGAUGAGUUAAAGGAUAUACCCGAAGACAUCAAAGGAAGAAUGACCGACUAUCUGAGAAAUAGUGAAUCUCUUCGGAAGGCCAAUCAUGGUCACCAUUUUAGAUUAUGCUGGUCAGCAUGUGUUUUACACAAAUCAGCUUUUCCUUUUUUGAGCUGCUUUCUACUAUGUGGUGUUUGAUGCUUCUCAACCAUUGGCUAGUCAGACGGCAUCUGUAUAUCGUAAAAUUGAUGGCGAAGUAGUGUACAUGGGUGACAUACCUGAUGCUACAAACUACGAACGAGUUGAAGAAUGGAUAUCAGCCAUUCACAUUAUGGAAGCUGAGCCGUCAUAUUUUAUGAUAUUUGAGAAUGAAGGGAUACGAUCACCUGGAAUCUUCCUUGUUGGUACACACGCUUAUGUACUAAGAAAAGAGGAAGGUAUGUUGGAGAAGCAAGACGAGUUCAUGAAGAAGAAACUGCAAGACACAGAGCUGUCAAAGCACAUCAUAUGGGCAUCUAAAGACGGAAUGUGUUUGUAUGUCGAUAACUCGAUGAUGGAUGCAGACAGUGGUGGUGUAGAUCCACAAGUGCAGUUGCUGUGUCGAAAGACAGAAGAGGUGGCACGUCAGGUGGCAAUACACGACAGGCUUCCAAUCACGUCGCUUUGAUUUAAAGAAGAGCUUUACCAGUUGAAAGAAAAUGAGACGACAAGGAAGGUCGUGUCGGUAGAGGAGUUGCAGCAACUUGCCCAAAGAGUUGCCCAUUUGAUUUGCCGGUAUCAAGACUAAGGAAGAGUUUAUGGUAUUGCUGCAGUAUCUGAGCAAUCGUGCUGUAGUUCUUUGUCAUCCAAAAGCUUUGAAGAAUGGAGAGAAAGAAGUCGUUCUAGAGUCCGUUCCCGAAUAGAAGAAUACGUGGGAACUGCGGUUAAUAGAUAAAGAAUUGAAGAGCUGAGAUGGGCGUAGUUAAUUACUUAAAUGGUUCCAGUAUAGACAGGUUUCGCUAUGAACUUACGUUCAAAGGUUCAGUCAAUGCUUCAACUGCACAAGCUUGCUAGCUACAGCUGUUUUACCUAACAAUCCAUAAUUCAAAGUACGUUGCGUCAGCUUUCAAGUAGUGGGCGUUAUAGCGGUGACUUUGAACUUAUCUGUAACCUGGUGUAAAUGAAGGAGCAGGGCAGGGCUAAGCGCGUGUCCUAAGGGAAGUUACAAAUUCUGUCGUAAUAAAGAACCAAUCACAGUAUUCAUUAACUGAUCUGGAACAGCCUCCUUGUGAGCUUUCCAAAGAUGUUGCAAUCAACUCGCUAGGACGUCCGCUUCAGGAGAUACGGGUUUUUCCCCACGUAUUCUCCUAUUCGAGAACGGACUUUUAGAUGUUGACUGGCUGAUGUCUCGACUAUAAAACGUGGUGAUCGUUCACACUGAUGUGCCCUCUAUGUGGAUGAGGGAUAUGGCACGUUGUGCAGAGACAGGUAUCAUAACACAAAAAAUGUCUCUACUACCUGUUACCAGACUUAUCAUGUCGUGGAAUCAUCAAGUCACUUCUGAAGUAUUAUGACUUGAUGUGUCCAUAUUUUGGACUCAAUGCCAAUAGUUUGGAAUUUUCCAGUGAUCAACAGGAUUACGUCAACUUGAAAUUCUAGUCUAUUGAAAAUGAAGAUGAUGCACAGUGUCCAGCACAUUUCGUACCUUGCUUGCUACAGAAAGAGUCUUCACUCUUAUCUACAGAGAUACCCUACAGUCAUAAGACUGCUGCUCUUAUUUUACAUAUUCAUAAGCCUAAGCCUUUGUUCUACCAUCUACUCACUCGGUUGGGAAAACGAUUUUGUCAUUUGCCACAAUUGUUUCAGAAUGUUGGCUACUUCAGGUUUUAUCACCACCUCAAGCUGGAGAUUUUAUUAGACAAGCACAGUUUGCAGAUGAUUGUCUACACUGACCACAAGGAUCCUCUUCCAACAGUAUGUGCUUUUGUCAAAGAUUUUUUUGUCACUUCAGUUGAUGAAGCUAAACAACAAGGCAUGUCAGGAUUAAAGCUGCAGAUAGGUUACAUGUGGAGCAAUCCAGAUCAUAUUGGAGCUGAUUCUGAAUUUGUGUCUCUGAAAGAAUGUUAUCAUUUACCAGAAACCGUGUAUGUUAAAUUACUGGGCAAUGAAGUCAGACUUUCAGAAACCCCGCAUGAUUGGUUUUCUGCAAUCAGUGAGUUUGCUAUUCUUUUGGAGCCUAAUAUGUACUUGGCACCGGAUACAAACUUACUACAUUCUGAGCAACCAAAGAGUUUGGUUCAAUGCCUUCCACUCUGUCCAAUACAGUCAGCCACUCCAAUUUCUCAUCUUCUGAGUGACAUUCAUGUUCAUGAAUGUCUUCAAAAGGUAGCUGAAGUUAUGGAUAAAGAAGAGAACGUAAUAUGUGACGACUGGAGGAGUUUGUGAUGUGACCUACUUGAACGACCUUCAAGUGAAGAAAUGAAGACGAAGAUUCGACAAACUGCAAUACCAGUCCAACUGACUUUGUUCUAAAGAAAUGGGUAUGCAAGUCAACGUCAGCAACUGUUGCUAAACUAAUAGAACGUCUCAGUGCUAUGUAUCGAAAUGAUGUGGCAGAAAUUCUGAUGAAAUAUUUAAAUGAAGACAAUGUGAGAUGACGACAGCCAGUGCUGGCAAUACAGACAGACAGUCAUCAAGAUCAUUCUGUGCAGAGUUGAAGGACAGUCAGAUAAAUCCUGAGCUGUCAACUAAACAACAUAGCAAGGUGGCACCAGAUGAUCUGGUUGCUGUGGCAAGUGCCGGGGGGG